This 258-nucleotide ribosomal RNA is filed under the name Staphylococcus aureus. Its description in RNAcentral is "partial 16S ribosomal RNA". It matches the Rfam family "Bacterial small subunit ribosomal RNA", at positions 1 to 248 of the family's 1533-position model. The record is from RNAcentral. Lineage: Bacteria; Bacillati; Bacillota; Bacilli; Caryophanales; Staphylococcaceae.
UUUAUGGAGAGUUUGAUCCUGGCUCAGGAUGAACGCUGGCGGCGUGCCUAAUACAUGCAAGUCGAGCGAACGGACGAGAAGCUUGCUUCUCUGAUGUUAGCGGCGGACGGGUGAGUAACACGUGGAUAACCUACCUAUAAGACUGGGAUAACUUCGGGAAACCGGAGCUAAUACCGGAUAAUAUUUUGAACCGCAUGGUUCAAAAGUGAAAGACGGUCUUGCUGUCACUUAUAGAUGGAUCUGCGCUGCAUUAGCUAG